This 342-nucleotide ribosomal RNA is filed under the name uncultured bacterium. RNAcentral describes it as "bacterial SSU rRNA". It matches the Rfam family "Bacterial small subunit ribosomal RNA", at positions 1 to 334 of the family's 1533-position model. The record is from RNAcentral.
ACAGAUCGUUCAGAGUUUGAUCCUGGCUCAGGACGAACGCUGGCGGCGUGCCUAACACAUGCAAGUCGAGCGGAGAGGAGGGAGCUUGCUCCCGAAUCUUAGCGGCGGACGGGUGAGUAACGCGUGAGCAACCUGCCUUGAACUGGGGGAUAACGCAUCGAAAGAUGUGCUAAUACCGCGUAAGACCACGCUACCGCAUGGUAGAGGGGUCAAAGGAGCAAUCCGGUUUAAGAUGGGCUCGCGUCCGAUUAGCUAGUUGGUGAGAUAACGGCCCACCAAGGCGACGAUCGGUAGCCGACCUGAGAGGGUGAUCGGCCACAUUGGAACUGAGACACGGUCCAG